AGAAGGAGACUCCUCCGUUCUACGGAUGCGACAGAUGCAUACCUCAAGUCUCUGGUUGUACGCGAACCUCCAAGGCUGACAAAACAGAAUGAGGGUACCUGUAUCUGCACAACAAAAGUGUGCAGAAGAGUAGAAUGAGCGCACCACAGCGGUGCCCAAUAAGUAUCAAGACAAACCGAGAUGGAGUAGUAACGAGGGACAGUCAAGACAUCUGCCGGUCCAUAAACAGUACAAUCAUAGGGAUAAUACAAAUGAUAUAAAAUUAUAUAAAGACAGCAUGAAUGACUAAAAGAGCUACAAUCAUAAUAAAACUAAACGGACAAUAAGUAACAACGAGAAAUACACAAAUGAUGAUAAUAAAAGGACGGUAGACAUUACAGUCCAAAUCAUGAAGUCACAGCACAACAAGGACAGACAAGUUACUAACUCAUUAUUCUGCACUGCUCUUACAUAAGGUAUUCCAACUUUUGCCACAAUUCCACCACAACUCUCAUACCAGCCACAACCCAUAAAAACCCAAUAUCCGAGGUAUAACACUUGGCAUCUUGUGCCCCAUCAAUAGCACAGUCAUGUUGACAACUGACUAGUCAACUAGAGUCACUCUCACAUAUAAAAUGGGUAAACGAGGGCACAUCCCCAACCCUAGCCAAAUCAAGAUAGAUUCAUACCUAAUAGGAGGGUCCAACUACGUGUAUGCUUGUCCAAGUGUAUCUAACAGGAAUCCUACCAACCAGUAAAUAUAAGAAAUGGAAUGACUAGCACCCGAUUUAUUCACACUCGGGUAGAAUCAAUGAAAAUAUCAGUUCAUGACACAAUGAGUUUAACGGGGAUCUUCUAGGAUUUCGUCAUGUAGUCUCAAACAUAAACAUGUGCUAGGGAUCUCUUGGUAUCCUCAAUAGAUGUUCUGGGGAUCUCUUGGUAUCCCGAGGAUCUACUGAUAUCCUUAAUAUAUAUUCUAGUGAUCACUUGGUGUGCCGAGGAUCCCUUGGUAUCCUCAAUAGAUGUACUAGGGGUCUCUUGGUAUCCUGAGGAUCUCUUGGUAUCCUCACUAUAUAUGCUAGGGAUCUCUUGGUAUCCCGAGGAUCUCUUGGUAUCCCCAAUAGAUGCACUGGGGAUCUCUUUGUAUCCCGAGGAUCUCUUGGUAUCCUCAAUAUAUAUCCUAGGGAUCUCUUGGUAUCUUGAGGAUCUCUUGGUAUCUUCAAUAGAUGUAUUGGAACCUCUUAGUAACCCGAGGAUCUCUUGGUAUCUUCAAUAUAUAUGCUAGGGAUCUCUUGGUAUCCCGAGGAUCUCUUGGUAUCCUCAAUAGAUGUACUGGGGAUAUCUUGGUAUCCCGAGGAUCUCUUGGUAUCCUCAAUAUAUACGUUGGGGAUUUCCUGGUAUCCCGCAAUACAAAAUAAUCAACAUAGAUGUACAGUCCAAACAAUAGAAUAGUAAAUAUCCCAGUGAAGGAGUCGACAAUGGAAGACAAUAACAUCCCGGCAAGGGAGUCAAUAGUAGAAAAUAAUAACAUCCCGUCAAGGGAAUCAACAAGAGCUAGUAAGGUCACGGAAACACCAAGAAAAACAAAAUAAUCUUAACGAUAAAACAAGACACAAUAAGCACAUAAUAGCUACACCGAUACUAUAACAAUUGGACAUGUAAUAUAUUUGUACGAACAUAUGAACUUACAAUCAAGGUGCACCCAAUAGUAAGGAAGUUAACAUGAAUCAAAAAUUAAAAAUUUAAGGAAGUAUCAACUAAUUAUAUGAUAUCCAUCCUUUUUUCAAAUAAUACCGAUUAAUUACCUAAGAUAUAACAUUUAUGAUUUCCAAUUAAAGACGAGUAGUUAGAAUGGAUAAUAUGACUAUAGAAAGGGUGAUUAUCUUCAAUUAAACACGUAAGAAGUCAAUUAAACAACAAGAAUAAAUCAAGAAGAGCAAACAAUACCAAGUAAGAUAUGUAGAGGGGAAACUAAUAACAUGGAACUCAAUUGUAUCAAUAUCUUCUUCAAACUCAAUGAUUUCAAGAGUCUAAGGGUCUAAAAAGGGACAAUUUACCACAAAUAAAUUCGAUCACGCACUCGUCACCUCGCGUACACAGAAUGCAAUCAACAGAGAAGACUCAAAUCCUAAGGGAAAGUCCCUCCACACAAGGUUAGGCAAGACACUUACCUCAAACCGGCUAAAAUCAACUAGCAACCGCGUUCUUGCCAUGAGUUCUUGACUCCAAAUGGCCCAAAUCUAUUCAAUGAAAUCAUACAUUACAAUUAACAUCUCAAGCAACUAAUUCUAUAAUUUAAUUCAAAGCUAAAGAGCGAAAUCAGGUAAAAUAACCAAAAUACCCCUUUGUCCAAUGUCUCGGAACCGGAUGAAUUUAACAUUUUUAGAACCCUCGUAUUUUCAUGAGUCUAACUAUAUAGAAAUCUCUCAAAUCAGAGGUCAAUCACUCCCUCAAAACCCAAUAAUUCGGUCUAUGAAGUUCUACCCAUUUUUCAUUCAAAACUGAGAUUAAAGGAUGAAAUUAAGAGGAGAUUCAUGGGAGUUGGUCUAAAUCGAAUGAAAAUCACUUACCCAAGUUGCCCAGGUGGAUAUCCCUUCAAAAAUUACCAAGAACCGAGCUCCAUAAGUCAAAUAUGCGAAAUAAUGGUGAAACCCUCGAAAUUGGGAUUUAAAUCUGUACGCCAGUUAUUUGUUCUAUGUGAUCAAAGAGUAUGGGUUACGAUCACAUAGAGGAGCUUGAGAGGGCCCGGACUUUGUGCACUGUGUUCGCGUAAAAAAGGGAUGCGAACGUGGAGGGUUGAGAUGAUGGCGUAUGUGAUCACAGAGCGUACAAUGCGAAUGCAUUGAAGGAAAUAUGGGGGGACCAGUAAUUGGUCUAUACAAACACGGAAUGCAUAAUGCGAAUGCGAAGAAGGCCAAGAUAAGCCUAUGCGAUCGUGGAGGCCUGAUCGCGAUCGCAUAGAAGGUGUAACAGAAGCAGCAACAACAAUCCAAAAGCAAGGGGAAAUGACAUGUAGCCCAUGCAGAACACACCCGAGGCUCCUGGGACCUCGUCUAGUCACACACACAAGUCAUGUAACCUAACACGGACUCGCUCAAAGUUCCAAAUCAAAUAAAACAACAUUGAAAUGAUGAAUCGAACCAAAAAUCAAGCUAAUGAACUUUCGAAUCUUCAAAUAACGAAUCCCAUGCCGAAACCUAUCAAUUUAACUCGGAAUGAUGACAAAUUUUGCAGACAAGUUGAACAUGACAUAAUGGAUCUGUUCCAACUCUCGGAAUAACAUACUGACCCCGAUUUCCCAAAAGUCAAAUGUGGGUCAAACCUUUUCAUUUUCCAACUUCAUCUUUCGUUGAAAUGCCUCAAUAUACUCUACAGACCUCCAAAUCUGAAUCCGGAUGAUCACCUAAGUUCAAAAUCACCAUACGAAGCUGUUGAGAUCAUCUCGUUUACCCAAAAGUUCAGUUCCGGUUAAAUUUCUACCGUUCUAACUUCCAAAAAGGUUUCUUUACUAAAAUUGACUCUAAACCAUCCGAAAACCGAAUUCCACCAUGCACGCAAGUUGAUACUCAUGAUCUGAAGCUGCUCCCGACUUUAUACCGUUGAACGAAGUUUAAUUUCUCAAAACAACCGGUCGAAUCGUUACAUUCAUGAUAUGAGAAAAUUUUCAUUGUUGAAAUCAUGGGAGAGCUUAUCUGUCAUGGCAUAAUAUAUUAAUACAUACCAUAAAAUAAAAAAUAAUAAUUUCAUGUAUAUAUAUAUAUAUAUAUUAAAGGAAAAUAUUAUAUGUUACUACUAAUAAUUACUUAAAUGAUUAAAGAGAGGGGAAGAAACUAGUUCUGAGUUUAACGUCGCCGGCUCGACUUUUUUUAAAAAUUAGGCAAAAAGGAUUGUUAAAGCAUGUUUGUCGAAGAGUCUACUGAUAUAAGGCUUCAAACGAUGACCGUUUACUUUGAAUUUGCUCCCCCAUCUACAUGUUGUACUUCAAUUGCACCAUAGGGGGUCACUCAUGUUACUGUAUAUGGUCCUGUCCAGCGUGACUUAAACUUUUUUUGAAAAUAAUCUCAAUCGACUAUUAUACAACAGAACAUGAUCUCCAACUUUAAAAUCUUUAUGGCAGAUGAGCCUGUCAUGCCCUUUUUUAUCUUUUCCUUGUACAAUUUAACACUUUUAUAUGCUGUAAGCUUGAACUCUUCCAACUCAUCAAGCUGCAAUAGACGAUUUUACCUGCAUCUAGCAAGCUUAGAUUCAACAAUUUUAUAGCCCAAUAUGCUUUAUGUCCUAAUUCUACAGGUAAAUGACAAGUUUUUCCAAAACACUAGUCUAUGAGGAGAUGUACCUAUGAGAGUUUUGAAAGCAGUUAUGUAUGCCCAUAAAGCGUCAUCUAACCUUAGAGCCCCAUAAUUUUGCAUUUUUUGGCGAGGCUCAUCUCAUUUUUAUUAUUUAAAAGGAUAAACCUUAGGCAACUACAUAUUUCUACUUUGCGAGGGCCAUAAAAAAUUCAACCAAUGACACACUUCGAUUUCUAAAGAGUUUUAUUAAUAAAAUCAAGUAUAACGGCAAUGAGCGCAUUUAAAAACGACAAUUAGAUACACUUACUAAAUAGCUUAUAUCCGCCACCCCAUACAAUUAUCACGUGCCACCUAAUUUUGACUAACCAAACCCCAAAAAUAUCAUAGAAAAUAUUUUCUAAACUAAAAUAUGCAUACAUUUUCCCACAUAGCUAACUCACAAGAUUUGGACAAAGGGAACCAUGGAGGAUGAUUAUACUAAUUCAAAUUAAGUGAAGCUUUUGACAGAUAAUUAAGUAAAGCCCCCAAUCAAUAAUAAUAAAUUUGCAUCAUAGUUUACUUAAUACAACGGCAAUCAUGCGUUUCCAGCAAAUCCGAGCCCCAAAACGUUAACACACAAUUUGAGUAGUAGGCUAUUUCCAAAUCAGUUCUCCAAUGUAUACAAUGUUAACACUGGAAAGUCAAAUAAUUAGAGCAAUUGUAAUAUGCAAGCUAAACACAAAAUUAGUCAUUGCUCUGAGAACAAAACCCGAACAAAAAUGCAACUUAACAAAAUCUCAAUAUUUAUCAACACCUCAACUGACGGACGAAUUGAUCUUAAAUGAAUGGAUAAGCAGCGACAAAAAUGUUAAACAAUAACACAAGAAAUGAUUGAAUCAUGUUUAUCUAUGUCGAGCAAAUGUACAGAGCAUAAAAAUGAUUUCAAAGAAAUUAUUGCAACGAGAAAAGGAACGGACCUCGAAACAAAGUCAUUUUCGAAUCUGAAAAUACUUAACACUGGAAACCUUAGGCAGAGGCAAACUCGACGGACCUUAGACAACGACCUCCGGCAAACUCGAGCGGCGAAUCCAACAAACAGAACCUCGAUGGCAGCCACGAACACCCGUAUUCUCGUGUUUUCAAAUUCCGUCGAGCCAGUAUUGAAUAUUUCUUUACCCAGGAUAUGCGUGCGUGUGUGUGUGCAUUGGGUUGCAUCAAUGGCUGACGAGAUGAAGCAGCAGUAGCUGGUGGGUCUGCUGACCAGAAAACUGCUGCUGGUGCGUUUGUUUCUACCGAAUUUCCGGCGAGCUCGCUGGUGAGAUGGUUAUCGUGAAGGAGUCAUUUGUUAAGGGAGAUGGGGUGCUGAGUUUGACAUGAAGAAAGGCGAGGUAGUUGGUGGUUUGUUCAGGAGAUGGCUGCUACGGCUGGUUGACGACGCAGCAUUCGGUUCGGUGAAGAAGAUGAAGCACGACGAAGGCUGGUCGUGGGGGACAAUUUUCGGUUGCUGAUGGGCGGGGGUUAUGGUGAUGCUAUGGUUUUUCCAUGUUAGUUCUUUAAGGUUUUUUAGUUGGAGAAGAUGAAGUCAUCUUCAUUGUAUCUAAGGUCUAAGGUGUAAGGGUCUGUCCAAGCUCUCCGGGCCUCUUACGGCUGAUGCUUAAGGUUAGUUUUAUAGGUAGAGUAUUAGGGUAGGUUAGUUUUAGGGUUUUAGGGUAUUGGCCUUGGGUUAUCAGAAUUUUUGGCCUAAAAAUAGGUCAUUUGAAC
This 6008-nucleotide long non-coding RNA is filed under the name Nicotiana benthamiana. Its description in RNAcentral is "long non-coding RNA (NBEN_LNC003578)". The record is from RNAcentral. Lineage: Eukaryota; Viridiplantae; Streptophyta; Magnoliopsida; Solanales; Solanaceae.